Non-coding RNA from Arachis ipaensis, 443 nucleotides. Lineage: Eukaryota; Viridiplantae; Streptophyta; Magnoliopsida; Fabales; Fabaceae. The record is from RefSeq and is a predicted model, not a curated record.
UUACAAAUCCUAACCCUAACUCCCCUUUCCCCUUUAACCUAACUAACACACAACACAGAAAACAGAGGAAAGAGAGAGGGUUAGAGGGAGAGCUGCGCCAGGAGAAGGAAGAGAGGAGAAGGGGGGAUGUCGCCGACGGAAAAGGGGACUGCUGCCGUUAUCGUCGAGGGGGAGAGAGCUGCCAUUGCAUCUUCUGCAGGCUCACCAUCGUCGCCAUCGUGGAGCCACGAGGAGGCCGCCGUCACCAGUGCGAGCUCGCAGGGGGAGAGAGGGAGCCCACGAAGUCGCUGCUGAGCCGCCAUUGAUGCGAGGAACAGAACACGCGAGACGGGUUUGAGACUGCGCUGUUAGCGUCACCGUCACCGUCGUUCUGUUCUGCCACUGCUACCAUUGAAGCUUGUCGGAAGUCGCCGCUAAAGCUGCUGUCACCCUAUUGCCCUGUU